GAUGAACGCUAGCUACAGGCUUAACACAUGCAAGUCGAGGGCCCGGCGCACGGGUGAGUAACAUGUAUCUAAGCUUCCUUUUACUCGGGGAUAGCUUUUCGAAAGAACGAUUACUACCCGAUAUAAAGGAUGGGGAUGGGUUGCAUUAGGUUGUUGGUGAGGUAAUGGCUCACCAAGCCUUCGAUGGAUAGGGGUUCGGAGAGGAAGGUCCACCAGAAUGGAACUGAGACACAGUCCAAACUGGUAGGGGUGACAGGGGUGAGGAAUAUUGGUCAAUGGGCGCUAGUCUGAACCAGCCAAGUAGCGGGAAGGAUGAAGGCUUAGGGGUCGUAAACUACUUGUAUAUAAGAAGAGGUAUUAUAUGAAUAAGGAUCGGCUAACUCCGUGCCAGCAGCCGCGGUAAUUC
This 406-nucleotide ribosomal RNA is filed under the name uncultured bacterium. Its description in RNAcentral is "partial 16S ribosomal RNA". It matches the Rfam family "Bacterial small subunit ribosomal RNA", at positions 28 to 526 of the family's 1533-position model. The record is from RNAcentral.